This 255-nucleotide long non-coding RNA is filed under the name Ananas comosus (pineapple). RNAcentral describes it as "long non-coding RNA (ACOM_LNC007415)". The record is from RNAcentral. Lineage: Eukaryota; Viridiplantae; Streptophyta; Magnoliopsida; Poales; Bromeliaceae.
CGUUUUCGCCGUUUUGAUCUGCCGACCUAUGAUGGCAGUUGCACUGAGGCUUGGGUUGUCGAGGGCUGGGCCAGCGCGAUGGAGAAACUGUUUGAAGAUCUGUUCAUCCCUGAGCGGGAGCAGGUACAUCGGGGAGUUCACUGCUUAGCAGGUGAUGCACAUGCAUGGUGGAGGAGGGUGAGGCGAAACUAUGGACUGGUGGCUUUAUAGAUGAGAUGGGAUGAGUUCUGUGGCAUGCUGUUUGGGAUGUAUUUU